UACAAUGGAGAGUUUGAUCCUGGCUCAGGAUGAACGCUAGCGGCAGGCUUAAUACAUGCAAGUCGAGGGGCAGCAUGGUGUAGCAAUACACUGAUGGCGACCGGCAAACGGGUGCGGAACACGUACACAACCUUCCUCAGAGCGGGGGAUAGCCCAGAGAAAUUUGGAUUAAUACCCCAUAGGAUAGUGGAACGGCAUCGUUCAGCUAUUAAAGAUUUAUCACUUUGAGAUGGGUGUGCGGCUGAUUAGGUAGUUGGCGGGGUAACGGCCCACCAAGCCCACGAUCAGUAACUGGUGUGAGAGCAUGACCAGUCACACGGGCACUGAGACACGGGCCCGACUCCUACGGGAGGCAGCAGUAAGGAAUAUUGGACAAUGGACGAGAGUCUGAUCCAGCCAUGCCGCGUGGAGGAUGAAGGUCCUCUGGAUUGUAAACUUCUUUUAUCUGGGACGAAAAAAGGCGAUUCCUCGUCACUUGACGGUACCAGAUGAAUAAGCACCGGCUAACUCCGU
Molecule: ribosomal RNA, 513 nt
Filed under: Chitinophagaceae bacterium
Lineage: Bacteria; Pseudomonadati; Bacteroidota; Chitinophagia; Chitinophagales; Chitinophagaceae
Description: bacterial SSU rRNA
Rfam family: Bacterial small subunit ribosomal RNA
Source: RNAcentral